Molecule: ribosomal RNA, 280 nt
Filed under: uncultured fungus
Lineage: Eukaryota; Fungi
Description: partial small subunit ribosomal RNA
Rfam family: Eukaryotic small subunit ribosomal RNA (bases 146-280)
Source: RNAcentral
GCGUGCGCUCGGGCUGGUCGGCCGUCAUGGUCUGUACCGUUCGGGUCACGCCCCACUGUAGGAUACUCACCGCUGUUCUUAACUGGAUGGCGGUAAAAGGGUGACCGUGGAAAUAAAUUUUCAGGGGUAAAACUCUGGAACGCGAUUAUCUGGGGUUCCUACUCUUUUACUUUGAGCAAAUUAGAGUGUUCAAAGCAGGCAAUCGAGCCUUGAAUACUUCAGCAUGGGAUAAUGGAACAGGACUGGGGUCCUGAUUUCGUUGGUUUCUGGGAUCUCAGUA